CGUAAAAACAAGAUAUCUCGAGUUACCCACGCAAGUGAAUAUUUCAAACCUCUAUCAUCAUUAGACACCAACGAGUCAAAUAAUCAUCAAAGCCAGACGUGUGAUUUUUCUAGAAAAUAUUGCAAUUUCUGAGUGCCUAUCCUAUUUCCGCAACGAGAAGCGUCAUCCCGAUAACAAAUCGGCUCGCGCAGCGUCACUCGAACCAUCUCUUACAUACACCAAUUCCCGGGUCUAUCUGCUAGGAGUAUCUCAAACUUCGUGAGAGCACAGGCGUGUCAAAGGCUCGGCGGGAAGAUAAUCAGCGGAGCCAGUGCGGGAUGGUUCCGGCGCCGAGCGAAGCCAGCAGCGUAUUUCAGCCGCUGAACUUUGCCGCCCUACAAAGGGUAGGAAACGGGUAAAGCGUGUAAAGGGCGUCUGGGAGGGGGAAGCAAGUCCAGGAGUUCGUAGAAGUGCGAUAAGUGCGACGAAGAUCGCUGCGGGGAUCGUGCUCUCGCAUCCCUUUUGAGCGAAGCAGAGAGGGGUAGAAUGGUUGGUAAAGGACGAAGGGACUCACCCUUCCUAAGGCCAAACAAUGACAGUGGAGGGUUACGAGGAAAGAACCGAUCAAACCUGCAGGAACGACGCUGCUCGACUACAACUGGGAGCGAGACGAAGAACCGCUGGCCGCCAAUCACGUGACCAAGAUUCGACGCGGCGUACGACGUAUGCGCGCUGAUUGGCCGCAUCUCACCCCCACCACGCACCUGGCUCGAGGACGAGCGUGCCGCGCACGACGGUUGCGUGGGUGGUGGGGACGCGAUCGUCAUUCGACUUUGAGCGCUGAAGCGGUAUAGCCGCGUCGCGGCGCGUGGGUCGCGGUCGUGGCCCUCCGGGGCCCCUCGAUCCCUCGUGGAAUGCGUAGAGGAGAAAAAGUGUGCGGCGUGACGGAGCCAGGAGAAUACCUGUGGCCUCCGCGAUCUAUCCUUCCGUGCAUUCGGCCGCACGCGGAAAAUUGGGCGCCCGUCGUGCGAGUGCACGUCGAGGGCACACUCCAUGGCCAUCGACCGGUUCGUAGAUACAUCGAGAAUGUAAUUGAAGUGCGCUAGACCGGCCGCUGGAAAUUGAGUUGUACUUGAAGUACACUUCGCUUUUCUAUCGAAGAUCGAAUGCAAUUUCAAGAAAUGGAAAACAUGAAAAUAGAACGUUUAGCUCUGAAAUGUCUUUACACGCUAACGAUAAAGGGAGUGGUUUGUGGGGUAAGCUAGGAAUUGAUAGGGAACUUCGAAUGCUAUUAUAGUACGUGAGUAGUAGAUUUAAGGAAUAUGUAGACAGAGAAGAUUAUCUUUCGUUAAGGAGAUACUCGAUAUUUAUUUAUUAACGUAUAAGGACCAUUAUCUGUAAGGUAUAUAUAUAUAUAUAUUUGUAUUUCUUAAGAUUUUGUAUCUAUUAGAAGAAUCUGUAAUGAUUUUAUUCCCAUCUACUUGUAUAAUUGAUUCAUAAUUUACUCAAAAGAACGAUUUGAUAAUAUCAUGCUGUACAAUUAGUUGUGACGAACGAGUAAUAUAAGGUAUGUCGAAAGGUAUGAGUAACAUAACAAGUAUGUUGUAUGUUAUAAUGUUACAUAGGUGGAGUAAGAAGGGUGAAUGAGAAGACGAGAUGCACCGAUAGUGUGCUUCCACCUGUCGGCGAUCACAGUAGGCUUUUUCCUCUGAAUCUCUAGCGCACUCGAUGUUUGUUGGCUCGACGGAAUCUGAACUGUUCAAUCUCAUUUAAAUUUAUUCUCCCUUUAUUGACAUUCUAUUUUAAAUUUCUUUCUAUUUGCAAUUCCAAUUAAAUCAGUUUCAACAAUUAACAUUUAUAAUAAACUAUAAUCAUUGAUUUUUUACAAUGUCGCGUUUUGUGCAAUCACGCAGAAAGGAUAUUUAAAUUAUUUUUUCCCCUUUUCUAGAAAACCUGUCGCGACAUAAUCGAUCGUUCGCGUUUCUCCCCUGUCUCUUCGAACGUGUUCAAUAUUCUCCCGAGUCUCUAUGAGUCACAGAAACGUCUAGACUCUCUAGGCUCUAGACUGUCUACAGAUAAGGAUCGUAAUACUUUGAUAUUACACAUGGUGGGUGUUAAUCUCUCAAUAAAUUCUGCCAAGUUACGUGUACCACGUCGAAAUUCUAUUCGAUAUACAAUCAGCUUUCAUUAUUACUUUUCAACGUUUCCAUUCGCAUUUGCAUGAAGACUUAAAACACCAACUUCAUACCCCAUGCAAAUCCCUUUCUGCAUAACGACUCUCGAAGUGUCUCCUGUAUAGUGGCCAAAGGUGUACGCUGUACACACUUCCACAUAACAAUACCUCGCUCUCAAGUAUCGAAUUUUAACUUAUCGAUUUUCCUAUGAGACGUACCAGAAGGGUGAUAUGAUUUUCAACACUUCUAAUCCCAUUGCAAACUUCGCGUUUACAGAUUUAUUUAUAGUAACUUCAUAAUAAUUGCAAAUUACCAUCGAAGGAGAUACAUGUAAUAACAAAAGAGAAGAGGAAAAGGUGGUCACGAAAGAACGUGUUUCCUUCGCAUAACAAACUGCUACAUCCUUUUUCAAAAUGACUCACAGUUAUUCGAGACACAGUGAUUACAGGAUAUUACGAGUUAUUAAUGUUUAUGUAAAUAUACCUACAACUCGUUAUUCAGUCGUCAAAUGACUUCUCUUUCACCGAAGACAGUCAUUUUCGUAAUCUAAACUUCGAUUUAUCGGUCGUGCACCACGUUCGUGGCCAACAUUCGAAUUCGGCUAUCUCGCCGAGGAUCGAUCUUCCGUCGACCCGUCACGUGUUUAAUAUACUCGAGUGGUCUGAUAAAGCGGCUUACAUCGCGAUACGCACCGGAGCCAACUUAAUUCCUCGAUAUAACCCUUCCGAGAAAACCCUUCCCUCUCCAAAUAACUUCCAUAUACCCGAAAAUAUGGCUUUACUCCGAAAAUUCACUUCUCCUUAUGGAUACAACUGUUCAACGUGUUAUUCAAUAGUAUUAUGCGAGUUUUGACGAAUUUCUGCAAAAGCUAUUAAGACCGCCUUAAAAUAUUCUGUAUACCUGUGGUUUUAUGGUGUUAAGACGGUUUGUCAAUGGCGUGCACGAGAUCAGUGUGACUCAUUAGCCUUAUAGGGUGCCGGUGGAUUACGUAGGCCUCGGCUGGUGGUCGGAUAAAAAUGUACACGCUGCGGUAUUCGCCUUUACUCCCUGCAGACCGACAUUAAUAUACGCUCCCCUUGCGUCGAAAUAUCAGAUUAGGGUGUGUGCAAUCCGCUUCUGCUGCUCCAUGGAUUAUUAUACCUCACAGGAAAAAUAAAGGAGCUUCGCGAAAUGGGCGCAUGUAUUUAUAUAGAUUCACAAAUCUUGAGGUACUCUUCGAGUCCAGGUUUAACUCUUAAUUUUAAGGAAACGAUAUGUAUAGUGUGACUAUUCGUAUUUGUUGUUGGAGUAUGAGUAUAUAGGUCGAUGGGGAUGUUUUAUCAUCACCGUAGAAGAAUAGCUCGUUUCCGGAAGCGUAUUAUAACGUCAAGUUUGUAUACUGCGAAUUUUUUAUUUAAUAAGGAAGUUGCGAAAGAAUACUUUAUCUAAAAUUAAGCAAAAUUAUAUACGACUAGUUCUAUCCAAGUUUAAUACGUCUAGUUUAAUCGAAAAAGGACACGAUUCUGAAAGUAUCUCUGGAAUAAAAUGAGCUUGAAUAGAAAUAACGGAACUAUCAGAAUAAGAUACAAUAAGUUAUUUUUAGUACAUACAGAAAUUGCGAAUUAAAAUAUUUAAAAAAUCGACCCUCCAUUCUCAUUUUCGAUGAAACGAUCCCUAGAUAGCUUGCUAUUUCAUGAAAAUUUAUCGCGGUUAUAGGGCGAACGUGAAAAUAAAGCGAGUACGCGUACGAUUUUUUCCCUUCUAACCCGAUAAAACUGUAUCUUUCGUUGCCACCGGGCUUUUUCAUUUGCAUUAGACCAUUGCACCAUUGUGGAUUGUUAUCCUGUGGUUUAAGUUCUCUUUUUAUUUUACUGUAUUCCCACUUUUGAAAGGCAAAAUGGAAAUUGGAAUAUAUUGUACAAUAGUUUGUACAUUAAGUUAAACGAUGGAAUCGCUUGCUGCGCUGAUAAAUAUUUUUAUUAUGAAAAAUUCACACACAUAGCUAAAUUUUUCUUUAUUUUGUAUGAUAACGAUUUACAGUAUGAUAAUACGCAUUUUUUAAAAAUAUGCAGAAGUCAAAUCCUUUUAUGGCAGUCAAGAGAUAUCUUCUAAUAAACACGUAAUCAUAAAAUCUAGAUACACUGACUACAAAAGAUAUCUAUUGGUCCUAUGUUUCAUCUUUGUAUCAUCAAAUUUCUGUAGUCGUAUAACAAUACCUAUUAUUAUAAAUGAUACGGAAAUUUACUAUACUUUGACUUAAUUAAUUAGUAGGCAAAUUAAAUGCUAUUGUAUAAUAACUACAAUAGUAUGUCAAUACUUUUUGUACCCAUAAGACGAAUCAUCAAAAAUAAAUAUUAUUAAAUAACUGAAAUUAUAUUAUAUUACGCUAUGUCCAUUUUGCAUUAAUAGAUUUCAGACGUUUACUUGAAUUUACAUUUUUAUAAAUAUGUACACAUAAGGAAAUGAUACUUAAGAAAAAAGCUAAAAAUUUAUUUGGAAAGAAAGCUAAAUAUUUAUUUCGAUCGUAAUAUAACGAGUAUUUUACUUCGAGUAUUUUUAAUCUCUAUGCUUAAAUUUUCCGUAAGUGUAUAAACGUUCGCGAUCUAUCCUUUGGUAUCCAUUCGAAAUGUAGUUACUUAAACACGAACCGCUCCGAGUGAAGCGAUUUACAUGAAUACUAACUCGAGUGAUCAGAACGAAGCUUUGCAUGCUCUUUACAAGAAACAAGCUAGGAUCUGUAGAUUAUACUAUGCGACUAAUCAGUUUCGAAGCACGCGAAACGCUCGAGUUUCAGUUUAAGCAAAUUGGACGCGUUUCCCCCGAGGACAGGAAGACAGCCGGUAACCUCCUCCGGUUAAAAUCGAAUGACCGUAGCGAAACCUCUUACCCUCUCGUUUCGCGAUCGUUAUCGAGUUUUCGGUGCAUUCUGCCGCACACGAUGACAGCCUAAACACGUUUCUAAGCAAACGAAAAGAAAACCGCUUCCACGGAACUGCACGAGAUCUGCAAUUCUGUAGCAAUGGGGCGCAGCCUGUUUUAUGCCUCGAUCAUUAUACCAAACGAUCCACGACGUGGCCACCUAUCCCCUUAUUGAAUCUAACUGCGCCGGAAACGAGACUGUUAAACCUACCUGUCCGUUGUAAUUGGACGACAAAGAUGGAAAAUUAUUUAGCGUGAAGCUGAUUUUAUUUGAAACUGAAUAGGUUUGGAUGUACACGUUCGUUCAUAAGAACGUGGACUUCUGGCGAAUAUUUAAGAAAUUAUUACAACCUAAAGAUGUUUAGAAUUAUUUGGCAAAAUAUAGUUGCCUUGCUAGAAGAACAACUUUCAAGAAGAGUAAAUUUUUCUGGUAAUUGUUUUAAAAUAAAAAAUUGUUAAUAAUUCGAUUAUUUAGCAAUUGAGAAAUUUCUUCCUUUUAUAAUAAAGUAAUAGUCUUUGGGUUUUGAGGUUCUCUAAUAAAAUAUUAUUUACGUACGCACAGUGGUUAUUAUCGAUAAAAAAGGUUCGAACAAUUUUUAAAUUCCAAAAUAUUUCUUAUAAAAUAGUAUAAUUUUGUCAAGUAAAACAAUGGCAUUAUCAUAUCACAAAAAAUAAAGUUCAGUUAUAAUUUUAUAUAAAAUUGUAAUUAAAUAUGUCUUUCUUUGAUAAUCUCUGUCAUAUUAUCACUUGUAAUUUCAUAUAAGAUCAGCAAGUGUUUUCACACUUAUGAAAGAGUGUGUACUCACGCUGUACACGAUUAAUUUUCCUCUCUACUCUUCUUUCUGUCUCGUAUUUGCUUAACCGAUAAUAGGGCCAAAUUGUUAGCCUGUCAGUCAGAUAGAGCGCAACACGCACACAAACACGGACGAAUCAAGUGCACGCUGCGUGCCAGUUUUAUGACUCGCCCGGGGCUGCCAAUCGAACGCGUUCGAAUGCACCGACGAUAGGAUCGGAAUGGCACGCGUAAUUUUCGGUGCUCGAUUUUUCGAAACCAGGCCGUCACUCUCGGCAUAUACGCACACGACGCGAGAAGAUCGAUACGGACGGUGAUGCUGUCGAAAGAAACGCGCUCGGAAUGGCGUGCAUCGAUGAAGAGGCGCGUUUGUCGUCAAUGAACGACGGAUGUGUUACGCGAAUGACAGUUUUCAUUUCGAGAUCAGACAGAGACCUUAAUUCCUUUCGUUUGGAUCGCUUUAUGCGAAUCAAUUGGCUGUCUUUUUCACCGUCGAGUGAUAUUUUUUCGUUGAUGGAAAGAUUAAUUGAGGGACUCUGAGGAAAAAUGCUUACUAUCCCUUAUCUGACCGUGCUGAGUAUCCAUUGGAAAAUUUUGAGGCUGAUAGACGCUUGUAAAUUCUACGAAGCUAGAAAAUAGAACUAGGAAACAGGAAAUUUCCAUUCCGAUUAUCUUAACGCCCUGAGGCAACAAAAACGUAUCAGCGUGUUAUAAAGCUACAAUUGGCAAACUUAUACAAUUGCAACAAAUAGAAGAACAUGUGAAUUCAGGGCCUUUCUUUGAUAAGUAGACUGCGAAUAUUUGUACAUUUAUGACAAAUUUAAAAGUCAAAGAAUGCAUAUAUGUAAUGCGCAUAAUAUGCAGAAAUAUAGAAAAAAUACAAAGUAUAGUGCUGGUUAUAAUAUUUUGUGGAUAAAACGAAUCAUAGGUUACUUAGGCUUUAUUUUAUUAAUUUUAUUCACAAAAAUAUGAAUUUGCAUAAACAUCCCCCGUCUAUUGAUAAAAUAUGUUUAUUUCGAAACUCAUUACUGAAACUCAUUAUCAUCUAUCUCGAGAUGACAUUUCUUAUGCAACAAUCAAACGACUUCGUAAAUCAAAAUCAGUUUUCAAUUUCCUUUACUUUACAAUAUUAUUAUCAACAAAAUAAUUUCUCUUACAGGGGCGGGUAAUUCAAGUGAGGGAUUAAAAGAAGCAUUUUCAGCGGCGUUUUUCAAGCUAUCGCGGCUGAAGGAGGAAAACAAAAAAGAACACGAUAGGAAGGUUGAAGAAACGAAAAAUUGCAGGAUACUAUUUUUCACUAGCGGACAAAUGUUUCGGCUCGGUGAAGUCACGGUAUGAUCGUAUUUACGGUGGAACACUUGUACUAAUCUAAUAAUGGAGAGAGAUAUUUUUCAUUUUUCAACCGGACGUAAAUAUUCAGAGAUAAUCCCACUCUAGACCUUGGUAAUCAUUAGCUAAAACCAAAUAUUUGUAGAAGGGUUGCACCUUCGGUUGAUGGUAAGAAUGCUGAAAGGAAAGAGUUACGAGGCUCGUGACACAUUUCUGAGUAAAAUUACUGCUUGCAAUGAUCGAGAGGAGAUUCGGACUUUCUAUUUAUUUUACGAUUAGAUGUGAAAUUAAACGUGUGUAAUGACGUCGAGCAGCUUUCUAGAAACGAAAGAGCAAUGAAAUAAGGAAUCUGUUGUACAUUGCCCAAUGACAGGCGUUGAUGUUUUUCAAAUAUUGCGCUUAUAGAAACUAACGGAGGACACGGUCAGUCGAAGCACGAACGCUUACCUCUUUAAUUAGGGUUAAAUCGUAAAACGCACACGGCUGACCUUGGUAGGUCCUUAAGCCUUUGGAAAGAGUAAAAUUUGCAAACAGCGGUCGUAAAGUUGAUGGAUAGGGGAAGUAUAAGCCUGUCUGUCCGUACCCUUUAUGAUCGGUUGACCGUAGCUGAAUAUCUGGAGUUCAUUUCACCCGGGUAGCAUAAGUGUGCUGUAAGACGAGUCACGUAGUAAUGUAAGAAAGUAUGUAAACCGGAAGUCGUCUAAAGCCGAAAGGCAGGGACUAUGUUUAAUAAAUAAUAAUAAAUAAAUAAUAUAAUUGUUUUAGGAAUAUUAAAUGUAUGUUGUAUUUCAAUUGCAUAUUUUGAUGUAUAUAAUUGUUUUAGGAAUAGUAAAUGAAUAACAAAUGA
Molecule: RNA transcript, 8020 nt
Organism: Bombus huntii
Lineage: Eukaryota; Metazoa; Arthropoda; Insecta; Hymenoptera; Apidae
Exons: 5
Source: RefSeq, a predicted model, not a curated record